AUACAGAGGGUGCGAGCGUUAAUCGGAAUUACUGGGCGUAAAGCGCGCGUAGGCGGUUUGGUCAGUCGGAUGUGAAAGCCCUAGGCUCAACCUGGGAAUGGCAUUCGAUACUGCCUGACUAGAGUAUGGUAGAGGGAAGUGGAAUUUCCGGUGUAGCGGUGAAAUGCGUAGAUAUCGGAAGGAACACCAGUGGCGAAGGCGACUUCCUGGGCCAAUACUGACGCUGAGGUGCGAAAGCGUGGGGAGCAAACAGGAUUAGAAACCCUGGUAGUCC
Molecule: ribosomal RNA, 274 nt
Filed under: uncultured bacterium
Lineage: Bacteria
Description: partial 16S ribosomal RNA
Rfam family: Bacterial small subunit ribosomal RNA
Source: RNAcentral